GUGUGACGUCCCCAGCCCCA
RNAcentral lists this non-coding RNA (20 nucleotides) under Rattus norvegicus (Norway rat). Lineage: Eukaryota; Metazoa; Chordata; Mammalia; Rodentia; Muridae. The record is from RNAcentral.